AAAAAAAAAAAAAAAAAAGAUAGGUUUUGAAUUGAAGACAAAGGUUUGUGGUUUGGUACAGGCCUCUCAGAAUAUUACCACACGAACAGACUAAUGGUCCAAAGUGAAAUAGAAAUUGUUAUUCCAAUGUACAAGUGUUGAGCCUCAGUACAAGUUAGAAUGUGCAUUUUUCUAUCCUGGACAUAUUUCUAUCUUCAGCUAAUGUCCCCACACCUGACACCAAAAAAAAAAGAAAAGUCAAGGGUUGAUGAAAUAUUGCCAAAUAUCACAGCAUCUCACGAGAUCUAAAAGGCUGAAAUAUUGCCAAAUAUCACAGCAUCUUAUGAGAUCUAAAAGGCUGAAAUAUCGCCAAAUAUCACAGC
This is a non-coding RNA of Biomphalaria pfeifferi, 362 nucleotides long. The record is from the annotation of a GenBank genome assembly. Lineage: Eukaryota; Metazoa; Mollusca; Gastropoda; Planorbidae.